Molecule: long non-coding RNA, 605 nt
Organism: Gadus macrocephalus (Pacific cod)
Lineage: Eukaryota; Metazoa; Chordata; Actinopteri; Gadiformes; Gadidae
Exons: 5
Source: RefSeq, a predicted model, not a curated record
UCUUGGACCAGAUCAAUAUUGUAAAUAAGAAACUGUUCUUAAUGUUUUAUCUGGAAAAAUAAAGGUUAAAUAUAAAUAAAAAAAGAAGGUAACAUGUAGUUUGUCCCAAGGUGUCUGCCUCCUCACCCAGAGAAAGACCUCCACCUCCUCACCCAGAGCCAGACCGCCACCUCCUGUCAGAAGUCCUCCAGAACAGCUGAAAGGAGAGGCUGGGGACCGGAGGAUUGUGGUGCCAGGAUGGACCAGAGACUGAGGCUGGAGACCAGGGGCCUGCAGCACCGGACCACAGGACCAGGAAUCCAUGGCUGAAGGAGCUGAUGGAGGAGCCGUUUCGAAGGAGCUGAUGGAGAAGCCGUGCUGAAGGCCCUGCCUGGUGAAGGACGUCUGUCGUGGGACCAGGACUCUGUCUGAGGAGAGCUGCUGGAGGAGCCAAGACUCUGGAGGAUGACAUCACUCUACCAACCAGGAUCCUCAGACGUUUGUAACCAGACCAGGAAUCUGGAGGACUGAUGGAGAAGCUGUACAUCUGGAAGGCAAAUCCUGAGGACAACCAGGACUCUACCAUCAAGGAUUCCUCGUAAGUUUGCAUUAUCUGGACAUAGUGG